GAACGGCAGCGCGGGGCAACCUGGCGGCGAGUGGCGAACGGGUGAGUAAUAUAUCGGAACGUACCCUGGAGUGGGGGAUAACGUAGCGAAAGUUACGCUAAUACCGCAUACGAUCUAAGGAUGAAAGUGGGGGCUUCGCAAGAACCUCAUGCUCCUGGAGCGGCCGAUAUCUGAUUAGCUAGUUGGUGGGGUAAAGGCCUACCAAGGCAUCGAUCAGUAGCUGGUCUGAGAGGACGACCAGCCACACUGGAACUGAGACACGGUCCAGACUCCUACGGGAGGCAGCAGUGGGGAAUUUUGGACAAUGGGCGAAAGCCUGAUCCAGCAAUGCCGCGUGAGUGAAGAAGGCCUUCGGGUUGUAAAGCUCUUUUGUCAGGGAAGAAACGGUGAGGGCUAAUAUCCCUUGCUAAUGACGGUACCUGAAGAAUAAGCACCGGCUAACUACGUGCCAGCAGCCGCGGUAAUACGUAGGGUGCAAGCGUUAAUCGGAAUUACUGGGCGUAAAGCGUGCGCAGGCGGUUUUGUAAGUCUGUCGUGAAAUCCCCGGGCUCAACCUGGGAAUUGCGAUGGAGACUGCAAGGCUAGAAUCUGGCAG
This 595-nucleotide ribosomal RNA is filed under the name Rugamonas sp. r4. RNAcentral describes it as "bacterial SSU rRNA". It matches the Rfam family "Bacterial small subunit ribosomal RNA", at positions 64 to 654 of the family's 1533-position model. Lineage: Bacteria; Pseudomonadati; Pseudomonadota; Betaproteobacteria; Burkholderiales; Oxalobacteraceae. The record is from RNAcentral.